UACGAGAGCCUCAAGCGUUAUCCGGAAUUAUUGGGCGUAAAGGGUGCGUAGGUUGUUUUGUUAGUCUUUUGUCAAAUCCCGGGGCUUAACCUCGGACUUGCGAAAGAAACGGCAAAACUUGAAAGUGUGAGAGGCGUACGGAACUCAUGGUGUAGGGGUGAAAUCCGUUGAUAUCAUGGGGAACACCGAAAGCGAAAGCAGUACGCUGGCGCAUAUUUGACACUGAAGCACGAAAGCGUGGGUAGCGAAUGGG
This 253-nucleotide ribosomal RNA is filed under the name uncultured bacterium. RNAcentral describes it as "partial 16S ribosomal RNA". It matches the Rfam family "Bacterial small subunit ribosomal RNA", at positions 524 to 776 of the family's 1533-position model. The record is from RNAcentral.